Molecule: long non-coding RNA, 4908 nt
Filed under: Gossypium raimondii (Peruvian cotton)
Lineage: Eukaryota; Viridiplantae; Streptophyta; Magnoliopsida; Malvales; Malvaceae
Description: long non-coding RNA (GRAI_LNC001147)
Source: RNAcentral
GGGAACAAAUUUUGGAUCCCUUUUAAGUAUGAACAGCUGCCGACUUUCUGCUUUGGGUAUGGUAGGUUGGGGCAUGGUCUCUAUGAUUGCUCAGAAAUUACUCCUGCAGAGAAAAACUGAAUUAAAGAGGAUCCACCUUUCUCUUUAGCAUUAAAAGCAGAAUCAACGUUGGUUGGAAGGGAGAGUCUAAAGCUAAAUGCUCUAUCGAAAAACAACAACCACAAUGCUCGUAUGUUGGAGGUAUUACAAAGGAUCAGGAAGAUUAUUUGUCCAUGGAGCAAAGUAGUGGUAUGAUGAGAGGAGUCCAAGAUGGUGCUUGGUUGGCAUCAAUUGCUGCAGAUCUAGAAAUACAAAAGGAAGAAGGAAUCAAUGAAAAAGAUACUGUAAAUAGAAACGCCAAUAAUCUGAAUUUAGCCAGGAAAGCUAGUUGGAAAAGAAUGAAAUUAAUGGGAAUGAUGAAAAAUCACGAGGUAGAUCGUAAAUUGCAAAAAAGGAAAUUGACAGAGUUAGUACAAGAUGAAUAUGGGACAAAAGAGACUCAGGAAGAGAAUCCAAAAAGGACGAGACAUGGUGGACAGGAUCUAAUCACGGAGGAUGAAACCAAUUUACAAAUGGAAUAUUCCAACCAGACAGGAUCGGCGGCUGCCAAUGGGCAAGCCGACCGGGCACAAUGAAAAUCAUAUGCUGGAAUGUCCGUGGAUUGGGGAGUCCAUGGGCAGUAAGAAAGCUUCGGUUUUUAUUGAAGCAAAAUAAUCCUCAACUAGUCUUCCUAAUGGAGACUAAAGUAAGUGAAAAGCGUAUGGAAGCAAUUAGAAGAAGGUGUGGCUUCACGAAUGGGCUUGAAGUAGGACCUGUUGGUACGCGGGGUGGGAUUUGCUUAGCAUGGCGAGAGGAGGCUCAGAUUAAUCUUAAAUCCAUGUCAACAAGUCAUAUUGAUGUGCUAGUCAAAGAAGAAGGUGUUCAUGAAGAUUGGAGAUUCAUAAGGUUUUAUGGCUCACCCUACUCACAAAAUAAAAAUGCCUCAUGGGGUUUCAUAAGAUCUUGGGACAGGAGCGAGAGUAUCCUUGGUUAGUGAGUGGAGAUUUUAAUGAAAUAGCUUAUUCAUUUGAAAAAAGGGGAGGUCAACCGAGGGAGGAAAGGAAGAUGGCAGCGUUUCAGGAAGUUCUGCAAGAUUGUCACCUUUUAGAUAUGGGAUAUUCAGGAAUAUGGUAUACAUGGGAAAUAGGGAAUCUACCAGAGACGAACAUCAGAGAAAGAUUGGAUAAGGGUGUUGCGAAUGAAAAAUGGAUGGACUUAUUUCCAACGGGCAAUAUUCAUCAUUUAACGUCCACCCUUUCGGAUCAUUGUCCUCUCCUAAUAAACACAACUAAUGUAAGCAGAUUCAAGACAGUUCUAAGUUUCAAGUUUGAAGCUUGGUGGACCACAGAGGAAUCAAUAGAAAAAGAAAUUCAGAAAUCCUGGAACUCAUCAAAUGGAUCGGUUCUGGAGAAGCUUGAGAACUUAUAGAUUAGCUUAUCGAAAUGGGAAAAAUUCAUAAAGAAGAAACGAAAGGGGCUGACGGAUAAAAUUACAAAAGAGCUUGAAGAUUUAAUAAAGAAGGAACUUGAUGAAGAUGUUAUGAGCCAGGUUAUUGACAAAAGAAUCCAUUUGAGUAUGGAGGCCGAUAAGGAGGAGAUGUAUUGGGAACAGAGAGCAAGAGCUAAUUGGCUGAAGUUAGGAGACAAGAACAAGGCAUUUUUUCAUAAAUAUGCAUCAAUGCGGAGAAGAAUUAAUACAAUCAGUAGGCUUGAUAGUGAUGAUGGAAAAGUAAUCAAUGAGGAAUCAGAAAUUAAUGAGAUGGCUACGCUGUAUUUUCAGAAGCUUUUUUCGACUACUGGCAUUAGAGAUUCUUCCCACCUUUUAACAGGUAUUCAAAACAGUAUCUCUUCAGAUAUCAACACAGCCCUCUUAGAAAAGUUUACGACAGAGGAGAUUUAUAUAGCAGUAAAGGGAAUGGGUUCUACAAAAGCUACAGGUUAUGAUGGAUUUCCGGCUUUAUUUUUUCAAAAAUAUUAGGGUAUUGUGGGUGAGGAUAUUGGGAAUUUCUGUUUGGAAGUUUUGAACAACGGAAAAGAUGUGGAAGGGCUAAACCUAACUAAGAUCACUCUUAUUCCGAAGAAUUCCAAUCCUACGAACCUUGCCGACUUUAGACCAAUUAGUUUGUGCACAGUUUUAUAUAAAAUUAUAGCCAAAGCUAUUGCCAAUCGUCUCCAGGAAGUCAUUGGAAGAUGUAUUGAUAGUGUUCAAGGUGCAUUUGUCCCAAGGAGGCUUAUUUCGGAUAAUGUUUUAAUAGCCUAUGAAAUUCUAUAUACACUUCGGCAAAAACGCAAGGGGAAAAAAGGAUUCAUGGCGAUUAAGCUGGACAUGAGUAAAGCCUACGAUAGAGUUGAAUGGGUUUUCUUGAAGGAAGUUAUGAUGAGGAUGGGAUUUGCGAAGGAAUGGGUGGUAUUAAUAAUGAGAUGCAUUUCUACAGUCUCUUAUGUUGUGACUACAAAUGGGAGGAGUGGUAGAGUUUUUAAACCAACCAGAAGACUCCGACAAGGUGACCCACUUAGCCCAUUUCUUUUCUCAUUUGCAGUGAAGGUUUAUCGUCCUUAAUCAGGAAUGCCACAAGAGAGGGGUUGAUUAAAGGGGUGAGAGCUAGCAGAAGAGGCCCGACAAUCUCACACUUGUUAUUUGCAGACGAUUGCAUUUUGUUUGGUGAAGCCACCGAAAGUAGUGCAAGGAACCUAAAAGUUAUUUUGCAAGAGUAUGAGACUUGUUCUGGUCAAUGCGUUAAUUUUAAUAAGUCCAUGAUCUUUUUUAGUUCGAAUUUGGAGGAGGGUGAUAAAGGAAGUAUAUCGGCUGAAAUGGGAAUAAGAUGCUCGACUAACAUGGAGAAAUAUCUAGGACUGCCAAACAUAGUAGGUCGGAAGAAAAAGGAAUCUUUUCAGAUUCUCAAAGACAGAGUAAAGCAAAGGAUUGAAAAUUGGAGCACUCGUUUCUUAUCUCAAGGGGGUAGAGAGGUUUUCAUUAAAUCAGUACUUCAAGCAAUUCCUACUUACACAGUGACAUGUUUCCUACUACCAAUGUCGCUUUGUGGUGAGUUGGACAAUUUAUUUGCUAGAUUUUGGUGGCAGAAAGGAAAAGGAAAGAAAGGAAUUCACUGGUGUCAAUGGGAAUAUAUGUGUAGGCCUAAAGAGGAGGGUGGUAUGGGUUUUCGAAAUAUGGCACAUUUCAAUAUAGCACUACUGGCUAAGAAAGGGUGGAGGAUUAUGAAUAAUCAGAAUGCUCUCGUAACGCAAGUAUUCAAAGCUAAGUAUUUCCAAGAUGAUCAUUUCUUAAACUCCCGUUUAGGAAAUUCAUGUUCUUAUGUUUGGAAAAGCAUUUGGGCAGCCAAAGACUUAUUGACAAAAAGGCACUGUUGGAGGGUGGGAACGGGUACUAAUAUUUCUAUCAAUGAUGCUUGGAUUCCAGAUUCAGUUAACUUUAGAUUAUUAUCAAAAAUUAAUUCUAUGCGCGAUGCUAAAGUUGAUGAGUUCAUUGACAGUCAUAACAGAAGUUGGAAAAAAGAGUUGAUUACCAGUACCUUUUCGGAAGACGAUGCCGCCAAAAUCCUCAGAAUUCCUCUAACACAAACACCGCAUGAAGAUUUUCUUAUCUGGGGUGGCGAACGGUCGAGUGAAUUCACGGUCAGAAGCGCCUAUCAACUAUUACAAAAAUUGACUGAAAGUCCUAGAGCUUAUGCUUUACAGACCAUCUAUAGGAAUUUUUACAAAAAAACUUUGGAGCCUAAAUCUACCGACUAAAAUAAAGGUCACAUUAUGGAAGUUAUCUUGGAAUUAUCUGCCUACAAAGGUGAAUCUAUAGCACCGGAAGUUAGCAGUCAAUCCAAGCUGUCCCCGAUAUGGAGAAGGAGCUGAAACAAUGAACCAUUUAUUUCGCGAAUGCCAUGUUACAAGGGAGGUAUGGAGAGCAUUAUCGUUUCAAAACAUUUUGAUGAAUCAAUGUGAGGAUUUUGUACAGUGGAUCACCUGGGUAGUAGAGGAGCUCAGCCUUUAUCAAAGUCGAAUAUUCUGUUGUGCACUUUGGGCCAUAUGGGGAGAUAGAAACAAAAAAAUACAUGAAGGCAAAGUUAGUAAUGGGACGAAAGUUGCAAACUUUAUAAACAAUUACAUUAAUGAGAUUAAUGACCUUGAAAAAAAGAGAUCUGAAUCGUACUAGAGAGAACCAGAGAUGGUCGUACCCACAGGAGAGUUUCAUCAAGAUCAACUUUGAUGGUGCCUACGAUAAAAGGCAGAAUCGGUCGGCUUCGGGUAUUGUGGCCAGAGAUUCGGAAGGAAAUAUCCUCUUCUCAUGUUCAGAGAUUCAUUCUAAUAUCUCAUCGGCCUUUACUGCUGAAGCAAUAGCCUGCUGGAGAGCAGUCCAAAUAGGAACCGGGAAGGGAUGGCAGUUUCUGAUUCUUGAAGGAGAUUCCCUCGCAAUCAUCAAAAAUGCAAUUCAAAGGGUCAAGACAGAUCGAUGGUAGGGGCAUACAUUUAUGACAUUCAACAGAAAAUAUAUGGAUUUGAUAAUAUCAGAUUUCAAAAUACACCUAGAUCUGCAAAUAAUCUUACACAUAUCUUAGCAACAGAAACGUUAAAAAGAGGAGAAGAGAUUUACCUGGAUAGGGGAGUUCCUGAGUAUGCUAUGGAUCAAGCUCGGUACGAUGGGAGAAGAGGACCAGAUUAGAAGUUUUCAGGAGAGGAAGAGUGGAGAAAGGAAGCCUCAGAACAGUAAAGGAAACGGAUCGAUUUUCUUGGCAUAUUUUGAAAAUGGAAUCAUCAAAAAUGAAUUGAAAUGACAGAAAGACUGGAAGACAAUUUCCAAACAACUUCUGAUUGGGCAACG